AACGAACGCUGGCGGCAUGCCUAACACAUGCAAGUCGAACGAGAGGACCCCGCAAGGGGUUAGUAAAGUGGCGCACGGGUGAGUAAGACGUGGAUAAUCUGCCUUUUAGUUUGGGAUAACCCUUCGAAAGAAGGGCUAAUACCGGAGAGACCACAGGAGCAUAAGCUCUAGGGGUUAAAGAUAGGGACCGCAAGGCCUAUCGCUAUUAGAUGAGUCCACGCACUAUCAGCUAGUUGGUGAGGUAAUGGCUCACCAAGGCUAUGACGGUUAGCUGGUCUGAGAGGAUGAUCAGCCACAUUGGAACUGAGACACGGUCCAGACUCCUACGGGAGGCAGCAGUGGGGAAUCUUGCACAAUGGGCGCAAGCCUGAUGCAGCAAUGCCGCGUGAGUGAUGAAGGCCUUCGGGUUGUAAAUCUCUGUCGGCUGGGACAAACGGUUUCACAUUUAAUAAAUGUGGAAAGUGAUGGUACCAGCAAAGGAAGAGGCGGCUAACUCUGUGC
This 501-nucleotide ribosomal RNA is filed under the name uncultured bacterium. RNAcentral describes it as "bacterial SSU rRNA". It matches the Rfam family "Bacterial small subunit ribosomal RNA", at positions 29 to 508 of the family's 1533-position model. The record is from RNAcentral.